This is a long non-coding RNA of Trifolium pratense (red clover), 629 nucleotides long. RefSeq lists it as uncharacterized. The transcript is spliced from 2 exons. The record is from RefSeq and is a predicted model, not a curated record. Lineage: Eukaryota; Viridiplantae; Streptophyta; Magnoliopsida; Fabales; Fabaceae.
UCUGAUAUUACCUGAUUUGAAGGUAUUUAAUUGAAGUUCUCUCUUAUUCUCUGUCACCGAACGCAUAAGCUCUCUUCACCAUCACCAUUGCAUCACCUCAUCCCCACCGCACGAUCACUUCACCAACACAAAGGUUCUGGAUACCCCUUCACUUCAAGAUGACUUUUACUUGAAUCUUGUGGACUGGUCUUCACAAAAUAUUCUAGCAGUGGGAAUGGGCACUUGUGUUUAUCUUUGGAGUGCUUCAAACAAUAAAGUGAGUAUGAACCUUUGAUUAUAACUAUAUGCAGACAUGAAAACAAAUGGGUAUAUGCCAACAAUGGUGGUGUUGACAAGACAACAGUUGCAAACAUUAUUGUAUGCAGAGAGGGAUCAAUGGUGCUUUUACUUCUACUCUUCAUUUGAAAGAUCAAGGAUGUGAAUUUUGGCGUAUCAAUGGUGUCUUUUAUAUUUAGCUAGUUUUAUGAUUUUUGCAUCUCAUUGCUUAUCAAUGCUUAGCAAUGUAUUUAAUGCUCUGUAAUUCAUAUAUUGAUUAGUUUAAAUGCAAAUUGUAUUUGGAUUUGAAGAUAUCCAUUGUAUUAUACAGUAGUAACUUGUAAUUAGAUUUGAGUAGCAUAUUUUGUAGCCAA